This 277-nucleotide unclassified non-coding RNA is filed under the name Serendipita sp. Its description in RNAcentral is "partial contains small subunit ribosomal RNA, internal transcribed spacer 1, and 5.8S ribosomal RNA". The stretch from base 1 to 46 matches the Rfam family "Eukaryotic small subunit ribosomal RNA", at positions 1786 to 1831 of the family's 1831-position model. The record is from RNAcentral. Lineage: Eukaryota; Fungi; Basidiomycota; Agaricomycetes; Sebacinales; Serendipitaceae.
AAGUCGUAACAAGGUUUCCGUAGGUGAACCUGCGGAAGGAUCAUUAGUGAAUCUUCAAAAGUCGGCUCGUCGGAUUGUGCCGGUGGAGACACAUGUGCACGUCUUGCGAGUCGCAAACCCACACACCUGUGCAUCUAUGACUCUGAGUGCCGCUUUGCAUGGCCUUGAUUGGCCUGGCGCUCGAGUACUUUUCACACACUCUUGAAUGUAAUGGAAUGUCUUGUUGUGCGUAAUGUACAAAUCGAAACAACUUUCAACAACGGAUCUCUUGGUUCUG